AGUGAACGCUGGCGGUAGGCCUAACACAUGCAAGUCGAACGGCAGCACAGUAAGAGCUUGCUCUUACGGGUGGCGAGUGGCGGACGGGUGAGGAAUACAUCGGAAUCUACUUUUUCGUGGGGGAUAACGUAGGGAAACUUACGCUAAUACCGCAUACGACCUACGGGUGAAAGCAGGGGAUCUUCGGACCUUGCGCGAUUGAAUGAGCCGAUGUCGGAUUAGCUAGUUGGCGGGGUAAAGGCCCACCAAGGCGACGAUCCGUAGCUGGUGUGAGAGGAUGAUCAGCCACACUGGAACUGAGACACGGUCCAGACUCCUACGGGAGGCAGCAGUGGGGAAUAUUGGACAAUGGGCGCAAGCCUGAUCCAGCCAUACCGCGUGGGUGAAGAAGGCCUUCGGGUUGUAAAGCCCUUUUGUUGGGAAAGAAAAGCAGCAGGUUAAUACCCCGCUGUUCUGACGGUACCCAAAGAAUAAGCACCGGCUAACUUCGUG
This 492-nucleotide ribosomal RNA is filed under the name uncultured bacterium. Its description in RNAcentral is "partial 16S ribosomal RNA". It matches the Rfam family "Bacterial small subunit ribosomal RNA", at positions 29 to 507 of the family's 1533-position model. The record is from RNAcentral.